Molecule: ribosomal RNA, 717 nt
Filed under: Brevibacterium aureum
Lineage: Bacteria; Bacillati; Actinomycetota; Actinomycetes; Micrococcales; Brevibacteriaceae
Description: bacterial SSU rRNA
Rfam family: Bacterial small subunit ribosomal RNA
Source: RNAcentral
GUGGCGAACGGGUGAGUAACACGUGAGUAACCUGCCCCCGAUUUCGGGAUAAGCCCGGGAAACUGGGUCUAAUACCGGAUAUGACCAGAGGACGCAUGUUCUGUGGUGGAAAGUUUUUCGAUCGGGGAUGGGCUCGCGGCCUAUCAGCUUGUUGGUGGGGUAAUGGCCUACCAAGGCGACGACGGGUAGCCGGCCUGAGAGGGCGACCGGCCACACUGGGACUGAGACACGGCCCAGACUCCUACGGGAGGCAGCAGUGGGGAAUAUUGCACAAUGGGGGAAACCCUGAUGCAGCGACGCAGCGUGCGGGAUGACGGCCUUCGGGUUGUAAACCGCUUUCAGCAGGGAAGAAGCGAAAGUGACGGUACCUGCAGAAGAAGUACCGGCUAACUACGUGCCAGCAGCCGCGGUAAUACGUAGGGUACGAGCGUUGUCCGGAAUUAUUGGGCGUAAAGAGCUCGUAGGUGGUUGGUCACGUCUGCUGUGGAAACGCAACGCUUAACGUUGCGCGGGCAGUGGGUACGGGCUGACUAGAGUGCAGUAGGGGAGUCUGGAAUUCCUGGUGUAGCGGUGAAAUGCGCAGAUAUCAGGAGGAACACCGGUGGCGAAGGCGGGACUCUGGGCUGUAACUGACACUGAGGAGCGAAAGCAUGGGGAGCGAACAGGAUUAGAUACCCUGGUAGUCCAUGCCGUAAACGUUGGGCACUAGGUGUGGGG